CCUACGGGAGGCAGCAGUGAGGAAUAUUGGUCAAUGGACGCAAGUCUGAACCAGCCAUGCCGCGUGCAGGAAGACGGCUCUAUGAGUUGUAAACUGCUUUUGUACGAGGGUAAAGGCAGAUACGCGUAUCUGUCUGAAAGUACCGUACGAAUAAGCAUCGGCUAACUCCGUGCCAGCAGCCGCGGUAAUACGGAGGAUGCAAGCGUUAUCCGGAUUUAUUGGGUUUAAAGGGUGCGUAGGCGGUCUGAUAAGUCAGCGGUGAAAGCCCGGGGCUCAACCUCGGAAUUGCCUUUGAAACUGGUAGACUUGAGUGUGGUUGCGGUAGGCGGAAUGCGUGGUGUAGCGGUGAAAUGCAUAGAUAUCACGCAGAACACCGAUUGCGAAGGCAGCUUACCAAGCCACAACUGACGCUGAGGCACGAAAGCGUGGGGAGCAAACAGGAUUAGAUACCCCAGUAGUC
This 460-nucleotide ribosomal RNA is filed under the name uncultured bacterium. Its description in RNAcentral is "partial 16S ribosomal RNA". It matches the Rfam family "Bacterial small subunit ribosomal RNA", at positions 338 to 795 of the family's 1533-position model. The record is from RNAcentral.